CGGGAAGGAGGCCGCGGGGCCAGGGUUAUCUCGCGGCCUCAGAUGCUGGAGGAGUCGCAGGAGCAGACGCACGUCGGGGUGACAUUCAGGAAGGCGGAGGGACGAUUCGGAAGAAAAGAGCCUGCCUGUCCUGUCCAAGGUAAACAGUCCGUUUCAUCUGCC
Molecule: long non-coding RNA, 162 nt
Filed under: Carlito syrichta (Philippine tarsier)
Lineage: Eukaryota; Metazoa; Chordata; Mammalia; Primates; Tarsiidae
Description: Rhabdomyosarcoma 2 associated transcript conserved region 8 (ENSTSYG00000032940.1)
Rfam family: Rhabdomyosarcoma 2 associated transcript conserved region 8 (bases 1-139)
Source: RNAcentral